This 795-nucleotide ribosomal RNA is filed under the name uncultured Bacteroidota bacterium. Its description in RNAcentral is "bacterial SSU rRNA". It matches the Rfam family "Bacterial small subunit ribosomal RNA", at positions 91 to 889 of the family's 1533-position model. Lineage: Bacteria; Pseudomonadati; Bacteroidota. The record is from RNAcentral.
GAGACCGGCGCACGGGUGCGUGACGCGUAUGCAAUCUACCUUUUACAGGGGAACAGCCCAGAGAAAUUUGGAUUAAUGCCCCAUAGUAUAAUUGAAUGGCAUCAUUUAAUUAUUAAAGUCACAACGGUAAAAGAUGAGCAUGCGUCCCAUUAGUUAGUUGGUAAGGUAACGGCUUACCAAGACUAUGAUGGGUAGGGGUCCUGAGAGGGAGAUCCCCCACACUGGUACUGAGACACGGACCAGACUCCUACGGGAGGCAGCAGUGAGGAAUAUUGGACAAUGGGCGCAAGCCUGAUCCAGCCAUGCCGCGUGCAGGAAGAAGCAUCUAUGGUGUGUAAACUGCUUUUGUACAGGAAGAAACACUCCCUCGUGAGGGAGCUUGACGGUACUGUAAGAAUAAGGAUCGGCUAACUCCGUGCCAGCAGCCGCGGUAAUACGGAGGAUCCAAGCGUUAUCCGGAAUCAUUGGGUUUAAAGGGUCCGUAGGCGGUUUAAUAAGUCAGUGGUGAAAUCUGGUCGCUCAACGAUCAAACGGCCAUUGAUACUGUUAGACUUGAAUUAUAAGGAAGUAACUAGAAUAUGUAGUGUAGCGGUGAAAUGCUUAGAUAUUACAUGGAAUACCAAUUGCGAAGGCAGGUUACUACUUAUGGAUUGACGCUGAUGGACGAAAGCGUGGGGAGCGAACAGGAUUAGAUACCCUGGUAGUCCACGCCGUAAACGAUGGAUACUAGCUGUUGGAAGCAAUUUCAGUGGCUAAGCGAAAGUGAUAAGUAUCCCACCUGGGGAGUACGUUCGC